RNAcentral lists this ribosomal RNA (404 nucleotides) under Actinomycetes bacterium. RNAcentral describes it as "Actinobacteria bacterium partial 16S ribosomal RNA". It matches the Rfam family "Bacterial small subunit ribosomal RNA", at positions 355 to 776 of the family's 1533-position model. The record is from RNAcentral. RNAcentral also lists the same sequence under 1 other name. Lineage: Bacteria; Bacillati; Actinomycetota; Actinomycetes.
UGGGGAAUAUUGGACAAUGGGCGCAAGCCUGAUCCAGCCAUGCCGCGUGAGUGAUGAAGGCCCUAGGGUUGUAAAGCUCUUUCACCGGUGAAGAUAAUGACGGUAAUCGGAGAAGAAGCCCCGGCUAACUUCGUGCCAGCAGCCGCGGUAAUACGAAGGGGGCUAGCGUUGUUCGGAUUUACUGGGCGUAAAGCGCACGUAGGCGGACUUUUAAGUCAGGGGUGAAAUCCCGGGGCUCAACCCCGGAACUGCCUUUGAUACUGGAAGUCUUGAGUAUGGUAGAGGUGAGUGGAAUUCCGAGUGUAGAGGUGAAAUUCGUAGAUAUUCGGAGGAACACCAGUGGCGAAGGCGGCUCACUGGACCAUUACUGACGCUGAGGUGCGAAAGCGUGGGGAGCAAACAGG